This 271-nucleotide ribosomal RNA is filed under the name uncultured bacterium. Its description in RNAcentral is "partial 16S ribosomal RNA". It matches the Rfam family "Bacterial small subunit ribosomal RNA", at positions 28 to 300 of the family's 1533-position model. The record is from RNAcentral.
GACGAACGCUGGCGGCGUGCUUAACACAUGCAAGUCGAGCGGUAAGGCCCUUUCGGGGGUACACGAGCGGCGAACGGGUGAGUAACACGUGGGUGACCUGCCCUCAGCUCUGGGAUAAGCCUGGGAAACCGGGCCUAAUACUGGAUAUGACUCCAUGACGCAUGUUGUGGGGUGGAAAGCCUUGUGCGGCUGAGGAUGGGCCCGCGGCCUAUCAGCUUGUUGGUGGGGUGANGGCCUACCAAGGCGACGACGGGUAGCCGGCCUGAGAGGG